RNAcentral lists this ribosomal RNA (433 nucleotides) under uncultured bacterium. Its description in RNAcentral is "partial 16S ribosomal RNA". It matches the Rfam family "Bacterial small subunit ribosomal RNA", at positions 29 to 507 of the family's 1533-position model. The record is from RNAcentral.
AACGAACGCUGGCGGCAGGCCUAACACAUGCAAGUCGAGCGAGGACUUCGGUUCUAGCGGCGGACGGGUGAGUAACGCGUGGGAAUGUGCCCUUCUCUACGGAAUAGCCCUGGGAAACUGGGAGUAAUACCGUAUACGCCCUAUUGGGGAAAGAUCUAUCGGAGAAGGAUCAGCCCGCGUUGGAUUAGGUAGUUGGUGGGGUAAUGGCCUACCAAGCCGACGAUCCAUAGCUGGUUUGAGAGGAUGAUCAGCCACACUGGGACUGAGACACGGCCCAGACUCCUACGGGAGGCAGCAGUGGGGAAUCUUAGACAAUGGGGGCAACCCUGAUCUAGCCAUGCCGCGUGAGUGAUGAAGGCCUUAGGGUUGUAAAGCUCUUUCAGCUGGGAAGAUAAUGACGGUACCAGCAGAAGAAGCCCCGGCUAACUCCGUG